UACGUAGGCGGAAAAUUAAGUCAGUGGUGAAAUCCUGCAGCUUAACUGUAGAACUGUCAUUGAUACUGGUUUUCUUGAAUACAGUUGAGGUAGGCGGAAUGUGUAAUGUAGCGGUGAAAUGCUUAGAUAUUACACAGAACACCGAUUGCGAAGGCAGCUUACUAAACGGUUAUUGACGCUGAGGUACGAAAGCGUGGGGGGCGAACAGGAUUAGAUACCCUGGUAGUCC
Molecule: ribosomal RNA, 229 nt
Filed under: uncultured bacterium
Lineage: Bacteria
Description: partial 16S ribosomal RNA
Rfam family: Bacterial small subunit ribosomal RNA
Source: RNAcentral